This is a long non-coding RNA of Monodelphis domestica (gray short-tailed opossum), 1575 nucleotides long. The record is from Ensembl. NCBI's taxonomy places the organism in Eukaryota, Metazoa, Chordata, Mammalia, Didelphimorphia, Didelphidae.
GAGACCAGAGAGCCUCCUCCCCGAGGAGGCGUCUCAGCCCGCCCGUGGCCUCUUACCCUUCCCACCCCCAGGAAACAGGAACCCUUUCGAAGGAUUAGCCCCCACCACCCAGCCCCCAACCUCAGCUAACGGGGGCGGGAAGAGUCCCCAGGAGAGAGAAUAAGGAGGGAAUGUGACAAGAACCUGGGCGGUCGAACUUACCCGGUGCUGCAGAACCGGUACAGGGGUAGGAAAGGUUUGGGGUAAAAGAGAAGUUCGAUCACAGGUGAAAACAACAAAGUAAGAAAUUCCACUGCCGUCACGCUCCGCGAACUUAGGAUACAAACCUGAAAUAUGAAGCUCCCGCGGGAUAAAUUUGUCCAAUCACCGAGGAGGGCGGGGUAGCAAGGACUCUGAUCAUAGGGGGAGAUGAUAAAGGGGCGGGGCGAAGAAAGCGGAGGUACGAGGAGGAAUGGGCGGAGCGUGUGGAAGUGUCGGGAGAAGUAGAUAUGUCAUGGUGGAUGCAUACUUAUUCCUCUUCAGGAAAGCCUCUUCUCAUGUUGCCUGAAGAUCUCUUCUUCAUUCUUCCUGUAUAGAUUCCAAUGGGUUUGUGGAUGCAAUUCCCUAUAUGUUGUAACAGUUAAAAUUAGUUUCUCUCUGCCAAGGAGUAUUAUAUUUUAUGAGGUUUAUUAAAGGUCAAGGAUUAAAGAAAAUACAGAAUAAGAAAAUACGUGUCUAGGUCCAGAAAUGCCCAUUCAAUUUCACUUACAUCAUGAAAGAUGCGUCUGCUGGGAAGUGGAAGUAGGAAAAAGACCCUCAGUAGGCGGGGAAUUCCUUUAAAUAAUAAUUUGUGAUCUCGCCCAGGUGAGAAUUCAGUGUGAUUACAAAGCAUUCUGGGAAGUGAGCAAGGACUUCUGGGGACUGGAGUCCUGGGUUCAAGUCUCCGUUUUUUACAUUUCUCCGUGUGAUCAUUUUGGGAAAGAUUUUCCCCAAGAGGAUCAUGAAAACAUAAUCAACUUAAAGAUUACAAUAAUUUGAGGAUAAGAGAGAAAAAAAACAAUAAUUGCUGGACACAUUGACAAAAAGUCAGUUAGGGGGCAGUCCCCUUUGGCAUAAGAGUGUACAUUGAGACAGUCUCUUGAUACAAUCUCUUGAGACAGUCUCUUGAAGACAGUCUGAGGGAGGCUGACUCUGGCUGGAACUCCCUUUGAGGAGACUCUGUCCCUUUGAAUCCUUGCUUGGACAGAUCUUGUGGUGAGUGAUAAAAGACUGACUGAUCCCUCUCUUCCUAGGCUGGCUCAUGCCGGCCUAGGCUGGUAUAGCCCUUUUCUCAUUAUUUCCUUUUUCUCUCUCUCUCUCUCUUUCUUAAUUCCUCAUUUGUAUUAAUUAAAAUCUCUAUAAAACCCAGUUGACUUGGGUACAUUUUAAUAAUUGGGAAUAUUUCCCUGGCUACUACCUUAUAUUUGAUUUAAAACAAGACACUGUCUUGAAAACAUAUUUUCUGCAGUCACAAUUUACUCAUCCACUAUUUUAUCUACUACAAUUUAAGUCUUCCACUAUUUUAACUCUUACAGUUUAUGACAACCAACUAUUUUA